CAGCCACAACAGCCCGCUGGCUCGCACGGGGUGCUCUUCAUCGAGUGUCCCGCGUGGCCGGCAGAGUUUACUUUGAAAAAAUUAGAGUGCUCAAAGCAGGCUACACUUACGGCCUGAAUGCCUAUGCAUGGAAUAAUGGAAUAGGACCUCGGUUCUAUUUUGUCGGUUUUCUGAACCCGAGGUAAUGACUAAUAGGAACAGGCGGGGGCAUUCGUAUUGCGACGCUAGAGGUGAAAUUCUUGGACCGUCGCAAGACGAACUACUGCGAAAGCAUUUGCCAAGGAUGUUUUCAUUAAUCAAGAACGAAAGUUAGAGGUUCGAAGGCGAUCAGAUACCGCCCUAGUUCUAACCAUAAACGAUGCUGACCAGCGAUCCGCCGGCGUUAUUCCCAUGACCCGGCGGGCAGCUUCCGGGAAACCAAAGUCUUUGGGUUCCGGGGGAAGUAUGGUUGCAAAGCUGAAACUUAAAGGAAUUGACGGAAGGGCACCACCAGGAGUGGAGCCUGCGGCUUAAUUUGACUCAACACGGGGAACCUCACCAGGCCCAGACACCGGAAGGAUUGACAGAUUGAGAGCUCUUUCUCGAUUCGGUGGGUGGUGGUGCAUGGCCGUUCUUAGUUGGUGGAGCGAUUUGUCUGGUUAAUUCCGAUAAC
RNAcentral lists this ribosomal RNA (652 nucleotides) under Pachygrapsus marmoratus (marbled crab). Its description in RNAcentral is "SSU rRNA". It matches the Rfam family "Eukaryotic small subunit ribosomal RNA", at positions 685 to 1332 of the family's 1831-position model. The record is from RNAcentral. Lineage: Eukaryota; Metazoa; Arthropoda; Malacostraca; Decapoda; Grapsidae.